GCCCCUCUAGCUCAAUCGGAAGAGCAGCGGACUUUUAAUCCGCGGGUAGAGAGAUCGAAACUCUCGGGGGGCA
RNAcentral lists this transfer RNA (73 nucleotides) under Pseudoclavibacter sp. CFCC 11306. Its description in RNAcentral is "tRNA-Lys". It matches the Rfam family "tRNA". From Rfam's summary of the family: Transfer RNA (tRNA) molecules are approximately 80 nucleotides in length. Their secondary structure includes four short double-helical elements and three loops (D, anti-codon, and T loops). RNAcentral also lists the same sequence under 6 other names. Lineage: Bacteria; Bacillati; Actinomycetota; Actinomycetes; Micrococcales; Microbacteriaceae. The record is from RNAcentral.